AUGCCUAAGCGGACGACCCACACGUACUCGAGCGAGGACGCGCUGCCGGAGGGCCCCGAGUCCGACCUCUUCGUCUACUACUGCAAGCACUGCGCCUCCCACGUCCUCAUCACUGGUCAGUCGGCUCCUUCUCCCUCACGCCCCCCUUUCUUGGUUCCUCUUCGUUGCAGCGUGGGCUUGUAUCUGGAGGCUUUCGAUACCCUAUUGCAGAAAAUGCCAAAGAGGAAGACCGACCGAGCACAUGUUCUAGAUAAGGCAAAGCAUCUUGCGAGGUUAAAUGUGAAAGAUGCAGGAAAAAUCUUGUUGAAACGUGGAGAAGGAAAGCUCGAAAAGCAGUUUCGCAUGACCUGUGUGGGAUGCGACCUUUUUGUUUGCUACCGAUCGGAGGAAGAUUUGGAGCUUGCUCCUUAUAUAUAUGUUGUUGAUGGAGCACUGAGUUCGGUGGCGGCUGAGACAAAUCCACAUGAUGCGCCUGUACCCCCUUGCAUAACACAGUUGCAAGGUGGACUUGUCCAAGUUGCCAUUGAAGUAGAAGACCGAGCACAACGUUCAGCAAUAACAAGAGUGAACGCUGACGAUGUUCGAGUAGCAGUAGCUGCCCCUGCUGCUCGGGGGGAGGCCAACAACGAGUUGCUAGAAUUUAUGGGAAAGGUGCUUGGCUUAAGAUUGAGUCAGAUGACCCUUCAAAGGGGAUGGAAUAAUAAAUCAAAGCUUCUGAUUGUUGAGGAUUUGUCUGCGCGGCAAGUUUAUGAGAAGCUCCUAGAAGCUGUCCAGCCGUAG
This 780-nucleotide ribosomal RNA is filed under the name Triticum aestivum (bread wheat). RNAcentral's name for it is "partial small subunit ribosomal RNA". The record is from RNAcentral. Lineage: Eukaryota; Viridiplantae; Streptophyta; Magnoliopsida; Poales; Poaceae.